CCUACGGGUGGCAGUAGUGAGGAAUAUUGGUCAAUGGACGAGAGUCUGAACCAGCCAAGUAGCGUGAAGGAUGACUGCUCUAUGGGUUGUAAACUUCUUUUAUAUGGGAAUAAAACGUUCCACGUGUGGGAUUUUGUAUGUACCAUAUGACUAAGGAUCGGCUAACUCCGUGCCAGCAGCCGCGGUAAUACGGAGGAUCCGAGCGUUAUCCGGAUUUAUUGGGUUUAAAGGGAGCGUAGGUGGAUUGUUAAGUCAGUUGUGAAAGUUUGCGGCUCAACCGUAAAAUUGCAGUUGAAACUGGCAGUCUUGAGUACAGUAGAGGUGGGCGGAAUUCGUGGUGUAGCGGUGAAAUGCUUAGAUAUCACGAAGAACUCCGAUGGCGAAGGCAGUUGACUGGACUGCAACUGACACUGAGGCUCGAAAGUGUGGGGAUCAAACAGGAUUAGAUACCCUUGUAGUC
Molecule: ribosomal RNA, 460 nt
Filed under: uncultured bacterium
Lineage: Bacteria
Description: partial 16S ribosomal RNA
Rfam family: Bacterial small subunit ribosomal RNA
Source: RNAcentral